This 627-nucleotide ribosomal RNA is filed under the name uncultured Russulaceae. Its description in RNAcentral is "LSU rRNA". It matches the Rfam family "Eukaryotic large subunit ribosomal RNA", at positions 47 to 649 of the family's 3401-position model. The record is from RNAcentral. Lineage: Eukaryota; Fungi; Basidiomycota; Agaricomycetes; Russulales; Russulaceae.
UAAGCGGAGGAAAAGAAACUAACAAGGAUUCCCCUAGUAACUGCGAGUGAAGCGGGAAAAGCUCAAAUUUAAAAUCUGGUGGUCUUUGNNCAUCCGAGUUGUAAUUUAGAGAAGCGUCUUCCGCGCUGGACCGUGCACAAGUCUCCUGGAAUGGAGCGUCAUAGAGGGUGAGAAUCCCGUCUUUGGCACGGACACGCCAGGGCUUUUGUGAUGCGCUCUCGAAGAGUCGAGUUGUUUGGGAAUGCAGCUCAAAAUGGGUGGUGAACUCCAUCUAAAGCUAAAUAUUGGCGAGAGACCGAUAGCGAACAAGUACCGUGAGGGAAAGAUGAAAAGCACUUUGGAAAGAGAGUGAAACAGUACGUGAAAUUGUUGAAAGGGAAACGCUUGAAGUCAGUCGCGUCGACCGAGACUCAGCCUCGCCUUGGCUUGGUGUAAUUCUCGGCUGACGGGUCAGCAUCAAUUUUGCCUCUUGGAUAAUGGCGAGGGAAAUGUGACACCUUUACGGUGUGUUAUAGUCUCUCGUCGCAUGCAAGGGUUGGGAUUGAGGAACUCAGCACGCGCCUUCGGGUGUCGGGGUUACGCCCACGAUACGUGCUUAGGAUGUUGGCGUAAUGGCUUUAAACGACC